GCCUCAGUGGCGGAACUGGCAGACGCACAGGACUUAAAAUCCUGCGGGAUUUAAACCCCGUACCGGUUCGAUUCCGGUCUGAGGCA
RNAcentral lists this transfer RNA (86 nucleotides) under Lachnospiraceae bacterium. RNAcentral describes it as "tRNA-Leu". It matches the Rfam family "tRNA". Rfam says of the family: Transfer RNA (tRNA) molecules are approximately 80 nucleotides in length. Their secondary structure includes four short double-helical elements and three loops (D, anti-codon, and T loops). Further hydrogen bonds mediate the characteristic L-shaped molecular structure. tRNAs have two regions of fundamental functional importance: the anti-codon, which is responsible for specific mRNA codon recognition, and the 3' end, to which the tRNAs corresponding amino acid is attached (by aminoacyl-tRNA synthetases). tRNAs cope with the degeneracy of the genetic code in two manners: having more than one tRNA (with a specific anti-codon) for a particular amino acid; and 'wobble' base-pairing, i.e. permitting non-standard base-pairing at the 3rd anti-codon position. Lineage: Bacteria; Bacillati; Bacillota; Clostridia; Lachnospirales; Lachnospiraceae. The record is from RNAcentral.